RNAcentral lists this transfer RNA (75 nucleotides) under Flavobacterium cheonhonense. RNAcentral describes it as "tRNA-Thr". It matches the Rfam family "tRNA". Rfam says of the family: Transfer RNA (tRNA) molecules are approximately 80 nucleotides in length. Their secondary structure includes four short double-helical elements and three loops (D, anti-codon, and T loops). Further hydrogen bonds mediate the characteristic L-shaped molecular structure. tRNAs have two regions of fundamental functional importance: the anti-codon, which is responsible for specific mRNA codon recognition, and the 3' end, to which the tRNAs corresponding amino acid is attached (by aminoacyl-tRNA synthetases). tRNAs cope with the degeneracy of the genetic code in two manners: having more than one tRNA (with a specific anti-codon) for a particular amino acid; and 'wobble' base-pairing, i.e. permitting non-standard base-pairing at the 3rd anti-codon position. The record is from RNAcentral. RNAcentral also lists the same sequence under 1 other name. Lineage: Bacteria; Pseudomonadati; Bacteroidota; Flavobacteriia; Flavobacteriales; Flavobacteriaceae.
GCCGGUGUAGCUCAGUUGGCUAGAGCAGCUGAUUUGUAAUCAGCAGGUCGUGGGUUCGAGUCCCUCCAUCGGCUC